Molecule: ribosomal RNA, 793 nt
Filed under: uncultured archaeon
Lineage: Archaea
Description: bacterial SSU rRNA
Rfam family: Archaeal small subunit ribosomal RNA
Source: RNAcentral
ACUGCUCAGUAACACGUGGAUAACCUGCCCUUGGGUCCGGGAUAACCCCGGGAAACUGGGACUAAUACCGGAUAGGUCAGAGAUACUGGAAUGUUCUCUGGCCCAAAACUCCGGUGCCCAAGGAUGGGUCUGCGGCCUAUCAGGUAGUAGUGGGUGUAACGUACCUACUAGCCUACGACGGGUAAGGGUUGUGAGAGCAAGAUCCCUGAGAUGGAUUCUGAGACAUGAAUCCAGGCCCUACGGGGUGCAGCAGGCGCGAAACCUUUACACUGCGGGAAACCGCGAUAAGGGGACCCCGAGUGCCAGCACCUAGUGCUGGCUGUCCCGCUGUCUAAACAACAGUGGUUAGCAAGGGCCGGGCAAGACCGGUGCCAGCCGCCGCGGUAACACCGGCGGCCCGAGUGGUAGCCGCUAUUAUUGGGUUUAAAGGGUCCGUAGCCGGCUUAUUAAGUCUCUUGGGAAAUCUGGCGGCUUAAUCGUCAGGCGUCCAAGAGAUACUGGUAGGCUUGGGACCGGGAGAGGUGGGAGGUACUCCAGGGGUAGGGGUGAAAUCUUGUAAUCCUUGGGGGACCACCGAUGGCGAAGGCAUCCCACCAGAACGGGUCCGACGGUGAGGGACGAAAGCUGGGGGCACGAACCGGAUUAGAUACCCGGGUAGUCCCAGCUGUAAACGAUGCUCGCUAGGUGUCAGGUGCGGUGCGACCGCAUCUGGUGCCGCAGUGAAAACCUGAAGCGAGUCACCUGGGAAGUACGGUCGCAAGGCUGAAACUUAAAGGAAUUGGCGGGGGAGCAC